RNAcentral lists this ribosomal RNA (424 nucleotides) under uncultured eukaryotic phytoplankton. RNAcentral's name for it is "bacterial SSU rRNA". It matches the Rfam family "Bacterial small subunit ribosomal RNA", at positions 358 to 795 of the family's 1533-position model. The record is from RNAcentral.
GGAAUUUUCCGCAAUGGGCGAAAGUCUGACGGAGCGACGCUGCGUGAAGGAUGACGGCCUGCGGGCUGUAAACUUCUUUUCUCGAAGAAGAAGCUCUGACGGUAUUCGAGGAAUAAGCAUCGGCUAACUCCGUGCCAGCAGCCGCGGUAAUACGGAGGAUGCAAGUGUUAUUCGGAAUGAUUGGGCGUAAAGCGUCUGUAGGCUGUAUAGAAAGUCUUUUGUUAAAUGCCUCGGCUCAACCGGGAUCCAGCAAAGGAAACUUCUAUACUUGAGGGAAGUAGAGGUACAGGGAAUUCCCGGUGGAGCGGUGAAAUGCGUAGAUAUCGGGAGGAACACCAAUAUGGCGAAGGCACUGUACUGGGCUUUACCUGACGCUCAGAGACGAAAGCUAAAGGAGUGAUUAGGAUUAGAUACCCCAGUAGUC